GAUGAACGCUGGCGGCGUGCCUAAUACAUGCAAGUCGAGCGAACGGACGAGAAGCUUGCUUCUCUGAUGUUAGCGGCGGACGGGUGAGUAACACGUGGAUAACCUACCUAUAAGACUGGGAUAACUUCGGGAAACCGGAGCUAAUACCGGAUGAUAUUUUGAACCGCAUGGUUCAAAAGUGAAAGACGGUCUUGCUGUCACUUAUAGAUGGAUCCGCGCUGCAUUAGCUAGUUGGUAAUGUAACGGCUUACCAAGGCAACGAUGCAUAGCCGACCUGAGAGGGUGGUCGGCCACACUGGAACUGAGACACGGUCCAGACUCCUACGGGAGGCAGCAGUAGGGAAUCUUCCGCAAUGGGCGAAAGCCUUACGGAGCAACGCCGCGUGAGUGAUGAAGGUCUUCGGAUCGUAAAACUCUGUUAUUAGGGAAGAACAUAUGUGUAAGUAACUGUGCACAUCUUGACGGUACCUAAUCAGAAAGCCACGGCUAACUACGUG
RNAcentral lists this ribosomal RNA (497 nucleotides) under uncultured bacterium. Its description in RNAcentral is "partial 16S ribosomal RNA". It matches the Rfam family "Bacterial small subunit ribosomal RNA", at positions 28 to 507 of the family's 1533-position model. The record is from RNAcentral.